Molecule: long non-coding RNA, 490 nt
Organism: Pseudopipra pipra
Lineage: Eukaryota; Metazoa; Chordata; Aves; Passeriformes; Pipridae
Exons: 3
Source: RefSeq, a predicted model, not a curated record
UUAUUUUUACCAGUUGCUUCAAAACCACUGUGUUAAUAAAUUAGGUUAUGGAGACUUUACUGUAUCAUGGAAAAUAUCUUCGAAUUAGACACAAAUACUUCUUAAGAUGCAUUAGAGGCCAACACAGGUGUUUCCAGCAGCACCACACGUUAGCCCUCACUUUUAUUUUCUUUUUAAAGUGCUGUUUUAAUUAUCUCAAUAUGUUUUCCCUAAGAAGUAGAGCAGCUUAUGCAAUCCACCAAGUUCUGAGAUCAUACCCAAUAUGCCAGUUGUUGCAGAAGUGGGAAGCAAUCAGUAGUGGAGACAUGUAAACGUAUCCUAGUUGAACACUUGUAGAAAUACAAACAUCUUGAAUCCUUGCUAUGCCUGAGAAGGAUGGAAUAGCCAUUAAGACUGAUUUCAGGUGGUUUUGAUAGGCACAGAACAACUAAGCCUGCAUCUUCAGGGGGAAAAAAAGAAUAUUCAACUUUGCAUUUUAUUCUGAAAAGGU